RNAcentral lists this ribosomal RNA (224 nucleotides) under uncultured bacterium. Its description in RNAcentral is "partial 16S ribosomal RNA". It matches the Rfam family "Bacterial small subunit ribosomal RNA", at positions 524 to 746 of the family's 1533-position model. The record is from RNAcentral.
UACGAAGGGUGCAAACGUUGCUCGGAAUUAUUGGGCGUAAAGCGCACGUAGGCGGCUUAGCAAGUCGGAAGUGAAAGCCCUCGGCUCAACCAAGGAAGUGCUUUCGAAACUGCUGAGCUUGAGUACUUAAGAGGAUCGCGGAAUUCCCGGUGUAGAGGUGAAAUUCGUAGAUAUCGGGAGGAACACCAGUGGCGAAGGCGGCGACCUGGGCCAAUAUUGGACGC